RNAcentral lists this long non-coding RNA (878 nucleotides) under Medicago truncatula (barrel medic). Its description in RNAcentral is "long non-coding RNA (MTRU_LNC000880)". Lineage: Eukaryota; Viridiplantae; Streptophyta; Magnoliopsida; Fabales; Fabaceae. The record is from RNAcentral.
ACAAAGAAUUCAAUUCUCUCAUUCACGUGAAUAUUCAAAGAAGUAUUCAUAAAGCUCUUCAACAAGAACAAAGCAAGCUUCAAAUAUCUUUCUUCUCUUAUAGCUAAGAUAUCUCUGAAAGUUUGUAACAACAACAAAGCAAGUUUCAAAUAUCUUUCUUCACUUGUAGCUAAGAUAUCACUGAAAGUUUGUAUUGAUAAUAUCUCCAAGUUGGAAUAUUAUUUAAAAUAUCUCUUUGAGAUAUUAUUUUGAAAUCUCUACGUGAGAUACUUGAGAAAUCUCCAAGUGAGAUACCAUAUUCAAACAACACCCACCACCAUACAAAGUGUAACUAGAUCUCAAGUCUAUUGAGCAUAAUAGUUUGAGACAUAACUUUUCUUGUGUGAUCAAGAAUCGUAGAAGCCUGCUGAGGUUGAUAAUACAGAGUGUAACAGACUGAUCUGGUGUGAUCAACAAAUUAUAGUGUUAUUCAGAAGUUUAUGAUAGCAUGAUACUAUAGUGGAUAAUCUCACACGUAGUGUGGGGACUGGACGUAGCCGGUUAGGCGAACCAGGAUAAAUUCUCUUGUGUUCUCUCUCUUCUCUCAUCUCUUAAUUUUUGGCCGUCACAUAUAACCUAUAACUAACUAUAUUAAUUUUCCAGAGUGCUCUGGUCCUUAAACUAAAAUUAAAUAACCUACUACUUAAUAAUUAUCCAAAACUUUCUGGUCCUAUUUAUUUUAUUCUUAAUAUCUACAGAGUUCUCUGGUCCUUUAUCGCUUUAUUUAUUUCAGUUAUAUAUAUCUAGAGUUUUCUGGUCAUUUGCUGCUUUAUUUAUUUCAGUUAUAUAUCCAGAGUUUUUUUGGUCCUCUACUGCUUUAUUUAUUUCAGUAUUUCAUU